This 345-nucleotide ribosomal RNA is filed under the name uncultured bacterium. RNAcentral describes it as "bacterial SSU rRNA". It matches the Rfam family "Bacterial small subunit ribosomal RNA", at positions 8 to 334 of the family's 1533-position model. The record is from RNAcentral.
AGAGUUUGAUUCUGGCUCAGGACGAACGCUGGCGGCGUGCUUAACACAUGCAAGUCGAACGGAGUGCUCAUGACAGAGGUUUCGGCCAAUGGAUUGAGUUACUUAGUGGCGGACUGGUGAGUAACGCGUGAGGAACCUGCCUUUCAGAGGGGGACAACAGUUGGAAACGACUGCUAAUACCGCAUGACACAUCGAAGGGGCAUCCCUUUGAUGUCAAAGAUUUUAUCGCUGAAAGAUGGCCUCGCGUCUGAUUAGCUAGUUGGUGAGGUAACGGCCCACCAAGGCGACGAUCAGUAGCCGGACUGAGAGGUUGACCGGCCACAUUGGGACUGAGAUACGGCCCAG